UUACGGGAGGCAGCAGUGGGGAAUAUUGGACAAUGGGGGCAACCCUGAUCCAGCAAUGCCGCGUGAGUGAUGAAGGCCUUAGGGUUGUAAAGCUCUUUUGCCAGGGAAGAUGAUGACUGUACCUGGAGAAUAAGCCCCGGCUAACUUCGUGCCAGCAGCCGCGGUAAUACGAAGGGGGCUAGCGUUGUUCGGAAUUACUGGGCGUAAAGGGCGCGUAGGCGGCCGUUUAAGUUAGGUGUGAAAGUCCUGGGCUCAACCUGGGGACUGCACUUAAUACUGGAUGGCUUGAAUUCGGGAGAGGAUAGCGGAAUUCCCAGUGUAGAGGUGAAAUUCGUAGAUAUUGGGAAGAACACCGGUGGCGAAGGCGGCUAUCUGGACCGACAUUGACGCUGAGGCGCGAAAGCGUGGGGAGCAAACAGGAUUAGAUACCCCGGUAGC
Molecule: ribosomal RNA, 438 nt
Filed under: uncultured bacterium
Lineage: Bacteria
Description: bacterial SSU rRNA
Rfam family: Bacterial small subunit ribosomal RNA
Source: RNAcentral